RNAcentral lists this ribosomal RNA (253 nucleotides) under uncultured bacterium. RNAcentral's name for it is "partial 16S ribosomal RNA". It matches the Rfam family "Bacterial small subunit ribosomal RNA", at positions 524 to 776 of the family's 1533-position model. The record is from RNAcentral.
UACGGGGGGGGUAAGCGUUGUUCGGAAUUACUGGGCGUAAAGGGCUCGUAGGCGGCCAACUAAGUCAGACGUGAAAUACCUCAGCUUAACUGGGGAACUGCGUCUGAUACUGGAUGGCUUGGAUUCGGGAGAGGAAUGCGGAAUUCCAGGUGUAGCGGUGAAAUGCGUAGAUAUCUGGAGGAACACCGGUGGCGAAGGCGGCAUUCUGGACCGAUAUUGACGCUGAGGAGCGAAAGCCAGGGGAGCAAACGGG